UACAGGGGGUGCAAACGUUGCUCGGAAUCAUUGGGCGUAAAGCGCACGUAGGCGGUUCGUUAUGUCGGAUGUGAAAGCCCUUGGCUUAACCGAGGAAGUGCAUCCGAAACUGGCGAGCUAGAGUACGAAAGAGGAUCGCGGAAUUCCCGGUGUAGAGGUGAAAUUCGUAGAUAUCGAGAGGAACACCGGUGGCGAAGGCGGCCAACUGGACGAACACUGACGCUGGAGACGCGAAAGCGUGGGGAGCAAACAGG
Molecule: ribosomal RNA, 254 nt
Filed under: uncultured bacterium
Lineage: Bacteria
Description: partial 16S ribosomal RNA
Rfam family: Bacterial small subunit ribosomal RNA
Source: RNAcentral